This 479-nucleotide ribosomal RNA is filed under the name uncultured bacterium. RNAcentral's name for it is "partial 16S ribosomal RNA". It matches the Rfam family "Bacterial small subunit ribosomal RNA", at positions 28 to 507 of the family's 1533-position model. The record is from RNAcentral.
GAUGAACGCUAGCGGGAGGCCUAACACAUGCAAGCCGAGCGGUAGAGUCUCUUCGGAGACUUGAGAGCGGCGCACGGGUGCGGAACACGUGUGCAACCUGCCUUUAUCUGGGGGAUAGCCUUUCGAAGGGAAGAUUAAUACCCCAUAAUAUACUGGAUGGCAUCAUCUGGUAUUGAAAACUCCGGUGGAUAGAGAUGGGCACGCGCAAGAUUAGAUAGUUGGUGAGGUAACGGCUCACCAAGUCAGCGAUCUUUAGGGGGCCUGAGAGGGUGAUCCCCCACACUGGUACUGAGACACGGACCAGACUCCUACGGGAGGCAGCAGUGAGGAAUAUUGGACAAUGGGUGAGAGCCUGAUCCAGCCAUCCCGCGUGAAGGACGACGGCCCUAUGGGUUGUAAACUUCUUUUGGAUAGGGAUAAACCUAGAUACGUGUAUCUAGCUGAAGGUACUAUACGAAUAAGCACCGGCUAACUCCGUG